UACGAAGGGGGCUAGCGUUGUUCGGAAUUACUGGGCGUAAAGGGCGCGCAGGCGGCUCUUCAAGUCAGAUGUGAAAGCCCCGGGCUCAACCUGGGAACUGCAUUUGAGACUGGAGAGCUCGAGUUCGGGAGAGGAGAGCGGAAUUCCCAGUGUAGAGGUGAAAUUCGUAGAUAUUGGGAGGAACACCAGUGGCGAAGGCGGCGAUCUGGGAAGAUACUGACGCUGAGGUGCGAAAGCGUGGGGAGCAAACAGG
This 253-nucleotide ribosomal RNA is filed under the name uncultured bacterium. RNAcentral's name for it is "partial 16S ribosomal RNA". It matches the Rfam family "Bacterial small subunit ribosomal RNA", at positions 524 to 776 of the family's 1533-position model. The record is from RNAcentral.